This 585-nucleotide small RNA is filed under the name Pan troglodytes (chimpanzee). RNAcentral's name for it is "processed transcript". The record is from RNAcentral. Lineage: Eukaryota; Metazoa; Chordata; Mammalia; Primates; Hominidae.
GGGCGGGCGGGCGGCGGCACGUGGAUGCCAGCCUGGCGCGCGUCUCCAGGCCGGUGGAUGGCGCGGCCAAUCCAGGUGAAGCCUGCGGACAUGCCUACGCCCAGGCUCUCAUGCAACAGCAGACAACAGUCCUGUCCACCUCGGGCAGCUACCUGAGUCCCGGCGUGGCCUUCUCACCCUGUCACAUCCAGCAGAUAGGCGCCGUCAGCCUCAACGGGCUGCCUGCCACACCCAUCGCUCCUGCCUCUGGUGUCGUGCCCUUUCCAGGUGGGCACCCUGCCCUGGAAACCGUCUAUGCCAAUGGCCUUGUGCCCUACCCAGCUCAGAGCCCGACUGUGGCCGAGACACUGCAUCCUGCCUUCUCCGGAGUCCAGCAGUACACAGCCAUGUACCCCACCGCGGCCAUCACGCCCAUCGCGCACAGCGUCCCCCAGCCGCCGCCCCUCCUGCAGCAGCAGCAGCGAGAAGGUCCCGAGGGCUGUAACCUGUUUAUCUACCACCUCCCCCAGGAGUUUGGAGACACGGAGCUGACGCAGAUGUUCCUACCCUUCGGCAAUAUCAUUUCCUCCAAGGUGUUUAUGGAUC